CUUUUGCGUGCCUUCCACCGCCGCGAGCUCGGAAUGUCUGGCCCCGGGUGCUUCAGGGUCCGAGAACCUGCAGAAGUUCACACUUAAAUCCUACACGAGAGUCGUAUUUAUGAUGCAGAACUCGGUGCAGAACCCGAUGGAGUGCCCAAGGCGCUUGAGCCGUUCCUAGAAGGGGAAGGAGAGCCGCGGGCGGCAGCGGGGCAGGGGACGGAAUUGGGAAGCUUGGGAGCAGGAAGAAGGCCAGAGCUACUUAGGGCCAUGCGCGGUGGCUCACGCUUGUAAUCCCAGCACUUUGGGAGGCCGAGGCGGGCAGAUCACGAAGUCAGAAGAUCGAGACCAUCCUGGCUAACACGGUGAAACCCCGUCUUUACUAAAAAUACAAAAAAUUAGCCGGGCUUGGUGGCGGGCGCCUGUAGUUCCAGCUACUCGAGAGGCUGAGGCAGGAGAAUGGCGUGAACCCGGGAGGCGGAGCUUGCAGUGAGCCGAGAUCGAGCCACUGCACUCCAGCCUGGGCAACAGAGCGAUACUCUGUCUGAAAAAAAAAAAAAAAGUUUACAUACAUUAUCGAGUUCAAUCCUUAAUCCCAUAAGGCAGAUAGAUACCCCAUCUUCCCUUUACAGAAAAAAGAAACUGGGUCAGAAAGAUUAGAAACUUGCCCAAAGGCAUGCAGCCAAUAAUAAGUAGGGGAGCCCAGGAUUCAAACUAUCUGACUAAUCCCUGCAAUCUAAACAAUACGCUAUACUGUCCCAGAAAGAGGCUGGAAAAAUCAUUUUCAGUCAUUAGCUUAAAGUCCACUCCGAUGCUUACAGAUAAUGUUAUUAUCUUUGACUUGAAGCCUUUGCAUUCUCUAUUUCCAAUUACCUUGGAAAAUAAGGAAUUGGAUAUGCUUAGGUUAGAGGUGGGGAAUUCCCAGAAAACAUAGAAAAGGUUGUCUCAUGUCAAGUUGGUCAGGGUCUUAAAUGUUAAGCUAAAGACUUUGGACUUCAUCUGCUAGGCAUUGUGGUACCUGUGGGGUUUCUGUGUAGGGAAGGACCAAAUAAAACAUCUGAGGGGGGGGAUAUGGCAAUAAUUUGCAACUUCUGGUGGUAGCUAUAGAGAAGGAUAAAGGGUAUAGCCUCAGGGAAUUUGUACAUUUAAAAAUAAAGGAUUUGGGCAGGUUGUCAUGGUUCACUCCUGUAAUCCCAGCACUUUGGGAGGCCAAGGCGGGCAGAUCACUUGAAGUCAGUAGUUCAAGACUAGUCGGGCCAAUGUGGCGAAACCCUGUCUCUACUAGAAGUACAAAAUUAGCCAGGUGUGGUGGUGCACACCUGUAAUCCCAGCUACCUGGGAGGCUGAGGCAGGGGAAUCGCUUGAACCUGGGAGGCGCAGGUUGUAGUGAGCGAGGUCGCGCCACUGCACUCUAGCCUGGGUGACAGAGGGAGACUUUGUCUCAAAAUAAUAAUAAUAAUAAAUGAAUGAAGGAAGGCAAUGGAAAUUAUCCAGACAUGGAUCUUGAAGUGGGAGAUACCCUAAUAUAUGUAGUCAAGUGGAAUGAUGACAGAAAGGGUCAGAUUUGGCCAUUGAAAAUCAAAUUACCGAUGACUUUGGAGAGAGCAGGAUCAGGAAAGUGGGUGCUUGAGAUCCAUUUUGGAGGAGUUGCGGAAAGAAUGAAAUAGGGAGAACGGGAAGCCGGCAAGUAUAGGUGACUUGUGUAGCCCAUCCCCUGAUAUCCUCUAUAUUCGUUUGCUAGAGUUACUGUAACAAAGUACCACAAACUGGCUUAAAUGACAGAAAUUGGUUGUCUCACAAUUCUGGAGGUUAGAAGUUCCAGAUCAAGGUGUCAUGAGAGUUGUGUGAGAACCGUGAGGAAGAAUCUGUUCCAUGCCUCUCUCCUGGCUUCUGGUGGUGGUUUGCCGGCAAUCUUUGUCAUUCCUUGGCUUAUAGAAGAAUCGCCCUGUUCUCUGCCUUCAUCUUCACUUGGCUUUCUUUCUGUGUGUAUGUGUGUCCAAUUUUCUCUUUUUAUAAGAAUACCAAUCAUAUUGAACUAGGGCCCUGACCUCAUCUUAACUAAUUAUAUCUGCAAUGACCCUAUUUCCUAAUAAGGUCGUAUUUGAAGUACUGGGAGUUAAGACUUCAACAUCUGGCUGGGUGUGGUGGCUUACACUUGUAAUCCCAGCACUUUGGAAGGCCAAGGCCAGAGGAUUGCUUGAGCUCAUGAGUUUGGGACCAGUCUGGGCAACAUAGUAUCACCUUGUCUCUAAAAAAAAUACAGAAAACAGGCCUGCGCGGUGGCUCACACCUGUAAUCCCAGCACUUUGGGAGGCUGAGGCGGGCGGAUCACUAGGUCAGGAGAUCGAGACCAUCCUGGCUAACGCGGUGAAACCCUGUCCUGCGAAAAAUAUAAAAAAAAUUCGCCGGGCAUGGUGGCGGGCGCCUGUAGUCUCAGCUACUCGGGAGGCUGAGGCAGGAGAAUGGCGUGAACUCGGGAGGUGGAGCUUGCAGUAGGCCGAGAUCGCGCCACUGCACUCCAGCCUGGGCGACAGAGCAAGAUUCCAUCUCAAAAAAAAAUAAUAAUAAUACAGAAAACAUUAGCCAAGCUAGUGGUGCACACCUGUAAUUCCAGUAGUCCCAGCUACUUGGGAGGCUGAGGUGGGAGGAUCGCUUGAGACCAGGAGUUUGAGGCUGCAGUGAGCCGUGACCACACCACUGCAUUCCAGCCUGGGCGACAGAGUGAAGACCCUGUCUCAAAAAAAAAAAAAAAAACAAAAAAACUUUUAUCUUUUUUUGUGGUGUGGUCUUGGCUCACUGCAACCUCUGCCUCCCGGUUUCAAGUCAUUCUUGUGCCUCAGCCUCCCAAGUAGCUGGGAUUUCAGGUGUGUGCCACCGGGCCCGGCCAAAAAAAAAAAAAAAAGGACUUUAACAUGUGAAUUUGAGGGAGAGGAGAGGAAUAGAAUUCAAUCCAUAAUAUCCUCCUACUGUUGGAACCCAAGCAGAAACCAAAGCCCAGGAGAAUGCUUGGAUGCCAGCCAUAUGAAUCAGCCUUGCUAAGCAUAGGACAAGAUGGAGAAGGAUGGAGAAUAGGUCUGGGUGGGACAAAUGGAUGACAUCCAGUAUACCCAAUCUCCAUAAUUCCUCCCCAGCCACAUGAAAGGCUCUGACUUUACUCCUAGGGACUCAAGACUGGAAUGGGAAGAGCAUGAAAUUGAGCUGUCUAUCCCCCUGGAUCUCUCAUUGCCACCUGCCCAUAGGUUGGCUGCACCCCUCCACCAAAGAAAGGCCAUGACUCCUUCCUGGCAGCCCUGUCUUACAGCUACUCUCUGGUGAUCUGGGAACCACUCCCUCCCUUACCCCUUGAUGCCUAGGGCUAGUGCCAGCACCUUGUUGUUGUUAGCCUCAGAGGCACUUGCACUGUUCCUUGAUGGUUUUCCCAAAUCUUGCCCUCAUCUUUGUAAAUACUGUUUGCCGUUUAUUACACUGUCAUCAUAUUACCCAAUUUGAGUGUGUCAUCUAUUUCUUCCAAGACCCUGACUGAUACAGUGGGUAUAUUUGGAGCCAGAAAAAACAAUGACAACAAAACCAUUUGUUUGAGAAUUAGAAUGUGUUAGGAGAGUCCAUAAUCAGAACUGUCUGAGCACAUUUACUGCUGCCUAUGAACGGUUUAGAGGAUGAGGACAGCUGGCAUGGGAUUAAGGUAACCUUGUCCAGAAAGAUUUCAUUCAUUUAGAAAAAAUUUAUUGAAGGCCUACUAUCAUGCACCAAGCACUACUCUAGGUGCUGGGGGAAAAGGACAAAUAAAUCAUGUUCCUUUCCCUCAAGGAGCUCACAAUCUAGUAGCAGGGGACAGAUAUGUAAACAGUUAGUUGCAUAAAGCAUCACAGUGCUGUAGUAGAUGUCUGAGCUAGAGAUAAGAACUUUGGAAUGGUCAACAUAUAGUAAAGGCAGAGAAUAGAUGGGAUUGGAGACUGUUAAGAAAUGGAAUCUUGAAGGACUGUAAUAAUUGGAAGAAAUGCUAGAAGAGGAGAGUAAGAAGGAAUAAUUAUAACAGUAGUUCGGAUAUAUGAAUCAUUUACUAUGUCCUAGGGACUGUGCUUUACUUAGAUUAUCUCAAUCCUCGUCACAACUCUAUGGGG
This 4109-nucleotide long non-coding RNA is filed under the name Homo sapiens (human). RNAcentral's name for it is "HSALNT0291833". The stretch from base 1287 to 1433 matches the Rfam family "Metazoan signal recognition particle RNA". The record is from RNAcentral. Lineage: Eukaryota; Metazoa; Chordata; Mammalia; Primates; Hominidae.